CCUACGGGGGGCUGCAGUGGGGAAUAUUGCACAAUGGGCGCAAGCCUGAUGCAGCCAUGCCGCGUGUGUGAAGAAGGCCUUCGGGUUGUAAAGCACUUUCAGCGGGGAGGAAGGCGUUAAGGUUAAUAACCUUGGCGAUUGACGUUACCCGCAGAAGAAGCACCGGCUAACUCCGUGCCAGCAGCCGCGGUAAUACGGAGGGUGCAAGCGUCAAUCGGAAUUACUGGGCGUAAAGCGCACGCAGGCGGUCUGUCAAGUCGGAUGUGAAAUCCCCGGGCUCAACCUGGGAACUGCAUUCGAAACUGGCAGGCUAGAGUCUUGUAGAGGGGGGUAGAAUUCCAGGUGUAGCGGUGAAAUGCGUAGAGAUCUGGAGGAAUACCGGUGGCGAAGGUGGCCCCCUGGACAAAGACUGACGCUCAGGUGCGAAAGCGUGGGGAGCAAACAGGAUUAGAUACCCUAGUAGUC
This 465-nucleotide ribosomal RNA is filed under the name uncultured Klebsiella sp. Its description in RNAcentral is "bacterial SSU rRNA". It matches the Rfam family "Bacterial small subunit ribosomal RNA", at positions 338 to 795 of the family's 1533-position model. Lineage: Bacteria; Pseudomonadati; Pseudomonadota; Gammaproteobacteria; Enterobacterales; Enterobacteriaceae. The record is from RNAcentral.